AUUGAACGCUGACGGCAUGCCUUACACAUGCAAGUCGAACGGCAGCACGGGUGCUUGCACCUGGUGGCGAGUGGCGAACGGGUGAGUAAUACAUCGGAACGUACCUUAUCGUGGGGGAUAACGCAGCGAAAGCUGUGCUAAUGCCGCAUACGCCCUGAGGGGGAAAGCGGGGGAUCGCAAGACCUCGCGCGAUUAGAGCGGCCGAUGCCUGAUUAGCUAGUUGGUGGGGUAAAAGCCCACCAAGGCGACGAUCAGUAGCUGGUCUGAGAGGACGAUCAGCCACACUGGGACUGAGACACGGCCCAGACUCCUACGGGAGGCAGCAGUGGGGAAUUUUGGACAAUGGGGGCAACCCUGAUCCAGCAAUGCCGCGUGAGUGAAGAAGGCCUUCGGGUUGUAAAGCUCUUUUGUCAGGGAAGAAACACCGGCUCUAACACAGUCCGGGAAUGACGGUACCUGAAGAAUAAGCACCGGCUAACUACGUGUCAGCAGCCGCGGUAA
Molecule: ribosomal RNA, 501 nt
Filed under: uncultured bacterium
Lineage: Bacteria
Description: partial 16S ribosomal RNA
Rfam family: Bacterial small subunit ribosomal RNA
Source: RNAcentral